UCUAGCGAUGCCGCGUGAGUGACGAAGGCCUUAGGGUCGUAAAGCUCUUUCGCCAGGGGAUGAUAAUGACAGUACCUGGUAAAGAAACCCCGGCUAACUCCGUGCCAGCAGCCGCGGUAAUACGGAGGGGUUAGCGUUGUUCGGAAUUACUGGGCGUAAAGCGCACGUAGGCGGAUUGGAAAGUUGGGGUGAAAUCCCGGGGCUCAACCCGGAACUGCCUCCAAAACUAAUCAGUCUAGAGUUCGAGAGAGGUGAGUGGAAUUCCGAGUGUAGAGGUGAAAUUCGUAGAUAUUCGGAGGAACACCAGUGGCGAAGGCGGCUCACUGGCUCGAUACUGACGCUGAGGUGCGAAAGUGUGGGGAGCAAACAGGAUUAGAUACCCUGGUAG
This 388-nucleotide ribosomal RNA is filed under the name uncultured bacterium. RNAcentral's name for it is "bacterial SSU rRNA". It matches the Rfam family "Bacterial small subunit ribosomal RNA", at positions 387 to 793 of the family's 1533-position model. The record is from RNAcentral.